GCAGCACCGCGCCCCCACCUUGGUUCAUCAGACCACCUUUCUGAGCUUUAUUGCUCAUCAGAAAAAAACCCAUUGAGAAGUAGGUGAGAGUGUGGUCUGCAGGAUUCGUGUCAGCAUUACAUUACUGUUUUGAAUGCACAGACUGAGAUGCUUUCAGAGAAGCUGCAACUGAAAACCAUCACACCAAAGUUGAGGAGCAUGCCAAAUUGGUGUCUACAUACAUACUGAAGUGCAUGUAGGAUGUCUCUGUGACCAAGAUCAUCACCGCAAGGGCAAAUAAGAAACCCUGGAUGACAAAGGAUGCUGAAAGCACAAAACUUUGCUUUUAAAUGUGGGAACAGAGAGAUGCUCAGGUCAGCCAGCCAAUGGAAGUUCAGGCUUUUAAGAUAGGCUUGCUAUCUGACUAAGGAAUACAUACACAGAUCUAGUCUGCUGAUAUUAAUGAUUAUAUGCAGUCUCCUCAGAUCCAACAGGAGCUAGUGUAAACAAACCUAUCAUCUGAUAGGGCUGGGUUAAAAAAAAUUAAAUUAAUUUUCUUUUGAAUGGCUUGACUAAUAAAAUCCUUAAAUUGAUUCAUUUAGUAGAAUCUUUAAAAACUGCAGAAGCACUUAUGCCCCUUUUCCACCGGCUUGGCUCUACUCUGCUUGCUUUGCAAGCUUUUCCACCAGCUUUUUUUCGAGGCUGGCCCUGCUUUUAACGUCCCUGCUGCGGAGCAGGGCCAGCCGGGCCGGUCCUGCUUUCGUGGGUGACGCAAGCUUCGCUCCUGUUCACUGAUUGGCCGAGGGCGUGGUCAGACGUAGCAGCAAAGAGAGAAGAAAAAGGAACGGUGCAACAUUUCAAACUGCAACACGGAAGUGAUGGAAGUUACAAGCAAGUGGUGAACAAAGAUGCCGGCUUUUCUUUGCAUCGGAUUUUAAUAUUCAGUGGCAGCUCGAGGGAACAGUUAGGAAUAAGUCAUGUUUGUCAACGUAACAGAUGGAAUGGAAACCCUCGUUAGCCGCUUUGGAACCCGACGCAGCCCUACGGUGCCCACCCACUCAGAGGCAGCUAACGCCGCAGCUGCUCUCCAGCCAAGUGAGGGAACAGAAGAAGAGGAACAUGGCUGACACAAUGGUGAACGAUGAUGAGAAACAUCAGAACAACAACUGGAUCUCCUUCAGGAGGAAGCAGCUACCAGCACUGAGAUGGCAGAUCUCCACGGAGAAGAGUUGACACAAACAAAAGAUAAACAAAUGCUGUUGUGCUCUCAAAGAACAAAGUCUCUUUUUUUAUACUCACUCCAUACAUUAUUGCAAGACGACUACUCACACAGCCACAGUUGCCCCUGAA
Xiphophorus couchianus (Monterrey platyfish) is the source of this 1329-nucleotide long non-coding RNA. RefSeq lists it as uncharacterized. NCBI's taxonomy places the organism in Eukaryota, Metazoa, Chordata, Actinopteri, Cyprinodontiformes, Poeciliidae. The record is from RefSeq and is a predicted model, not a curated record. The transcript has 2 exons.